UACGAAGGGGGCGAGCGUUGUUCGGAAUUAUUGGGCGUAAAGGGUAGGUAGGUGGUCUCAUUUGUCUGAGGUGAAAGCCUCGAGCUUAACUCGAGAAGUGCCUCGGAAACGGUGAGACUAGAGUCUUGGAGAGGGUCGUGGAAUUCCCGGUGUAGCGGUGAAAUGCGCAGAUAUCGGGAAGAACACCCGUGGCGAAGGCGGUUCUCUGGGACGGUACUGACGCUGAGACGCGAAAGCGUGGGGAGCGAACAGG
Molecule: ribosomal RNA, 253 nt
Filed under: uncultured bacterium
Lineage: Bacteria
Description: partial 16S ribosomal RNA
Rfam family: Bacterial small subunit ribosomal RNA
Source: RNAcentral